RNAcentral lists this long non-coding RNA (206 nucleotides) under Lathyrus oleraceus (garden pea). RNAcentral describes it as "Pisum sativum (pea) long non-coding RNA (PSAT_LNC006522)". Lineage: Eukaryota; Viridiplantae; Streptophyta; Magnoliopsida; Fabales; Fabaceae. The record is from RNAcentral.
AAGUCUUUCUCUUCAACUCUGGGAUUGUUGCCAUCUAUAUCAGUGAAUAGAACUCCUGAAUGAACCUGAGAAAUGAUAUGCAUGCAGAGAUUAGUUUUUUUUCUUUUCUUUUUUUUUUCAAUCUUUUUUAUUGUGUAUUUUUUUGAAAAUAAACAUGCUAUGAUGCAAAUGAUGCAGACAAGACUGGCAGGCUGUGCAUCUCUGAA